This 54-nucleotide transfer RNA is filed under the name Daltonia aristifolia. Its description in RNAcentral is "partial tRNA-Leu". It matches the Rfam family "tRNA", at positions 29 to 71 of the family's 71-position model. Rfam says of the family: Transfer RNA (tRNA) molecules are approximately 80 nucleotides in length. Their secondary structure includes four short double-helical elements and three loops (D, anti-codon, and T loops). The record is from RNAcentral. Lineage: Eukaryota; Viridiplantae; Streptophyta; Bryopsida; Hookeriales; Daltoniaceae.
GACUUAAAAUCCGUUGGCUUUAUGACCGUGAGGGUUCAAGUCCCUCUACCCCCA